RNAcentral lists this ribosomal RNA (549 nucleotides) under Streptomyces enissocaesilis. RNAcentral's name for it is "bacterial SSU rRNA". It matches the Rfam family "Bacterial small subunit ribosomal RNA", at positions 209 to 769 of the family's 1533-position model. Lineage: Bacteria; Bacillati; Actinomycetota; Actinomycetes; Kitasatosporales; Streptomycetaceae. The record is from RNAcentral.
GCUCCGGCGGUGCAGGAUGAGCCCGCGGCCUAUCAGCUAGUUGGUGAGGUAACGGCUCACCAAGGCGACGACGGGUAGCCGGCCUGAGAGGGCGACCGGCCACACUGGGACUGAGACACGGCCCAGACUCCUACGGGAGGCAGCAGUGGGGAAUAUUGCACAAUGGGCGAAAGCCUGAUGCAGCGACGCCGCGUGAGGGGAUGACGGCCUUCGGGUUGUAAACCUCUUUCAGCAGGGAAGAAGCGAAAGUGACGGUACCUGCAGAAGAAGCGCCGGCUAACUACGUGCCAGCAGCCGCGGUAAUACGUAGGGCGCAAGCGUUGUCCGGAAUUAUUGGGCGUAAAGAGCUCGUAGGCGGCUUGUCACGUCGGUUGUGAAAGCCCGGGGCUUAACCCCGGGUCUGCAGUCGAUACGGGCAGGCUAGAGUUCGGUAGGGGAGAUCGGAAUUCCUGGUGUAGCGGUGAAAUGCGCAGAUAUCAGGAGGAACACCGGUGGCGAAGGCGGAUCUCUGGGCCGAUACUGACGCUGAGGAGCGAAAGCGUGGGGAGC